This 22-nucleotide non-coding RNA is filed under the name Arabidopsis thaliana (thale cress). The record is from RNAcentral. Lineage: Eukaryota; Viridiplantae; Streptophyta; Magnoliopsida; Brassicales; Brassicaceae.
UGCUGUACUAAUAGCCUCAGCC